CUCGAUUCCUAUUACACAGCAAUGAACAAAGAGGGGCAGCUGUAGCAGCCCAAAUCUGCCCGGGCCUUAAAACUUAAAACAAAAAAUAAAUGAAUAAAUGAAUAUUUAUUUAUUUUAAAAGUCCGUUAAAAAGUCCAAACCCAAUAACCCUUACAAACAGACCCACUACCCAAACCAAUCUACUACAGACCCAAGUCACUCAGGCCCAAAAGGCCCAAUGACUUAAAACACCAGCAGCAAACCUUAGGGUUUCCUUGGAACCUCAGCGCCGCAGGAGCAGUUCCAGAAGAUUCAUCACGUCAGAGCCGUUCCAACUCCCGAAGCAAGGGCCAUCAAUAGCCUUGUCCCCUCACGUCACCCCAGCUAGCCCUCAUCAAUGCUGGUCAGAGCGAUGGUCACCUCACACGAGAUCCCAUCAAAGCACUGACCAGAGACUUUGGGCACUCCGAACGUCACCGCCGUUUGCCUCACAACGAUCCAGUGGUUUAAACAUCACCACCAUCAGUGCACCUUGAUCUCAGGCCUCACCACUAACCUUUGCGCCUCUAUCGGUGCCGAGAUCUUCGCAGCAGAGGCCGUCCUGUGGUCACCAGGCAAGAUUCGCAUCCAUAACGCGAUCUUCGCCGAAUUUUUGGUACCUGCAAGACAGAAAAAGGAAACCAAUAGACACAGAAAAGAAAAACGGAGCAGAAAAGGAAACUAAACAGGCAAAAAUAGCAAGAAAUAGCAGUAUACAAAUAUACGAAAUAUAUACAAAAGAGAACAAAUAUACGAAUAUUCAGAGAAGUUCAAGCAGUUUCUUUAAAAAGGUGAUUUAAAUUUCAUACUCUGUUAUUUAUUUUUCAACGAGUAUACGAAUUGUUUUUGCAAAAAACUGUUGAUAUUUAAAAGGAAGAAGAGGUUACCUGUGUUUCGCUUGAAGGGACGAGGGUUUUUACCCCUCCGACCACCGUGGGAAGUGGCGGUGUGGCGCGUGGGCAUGUGCUGCUCAGUGGCAUGAGGCCGAAGCUGGGGACUCCUCUCUUCUCCCUUUCAGAGAAUUUCAAAACUUUUUUUUAAAACCCAUUGUAAAAUGAAUUUUGGGUUAAAUGUUGACAUAUAUAGCAUUACGAAAACGGCGUCGUUUUGCUUAAUUCAAUAAGCACUAAAACGACACCGUUUAAAUAGAGGAUCCGAGUGUUGACCCGUGACCCGGGGAAGGAUCCGCGUGUUUUUGGUAAAUGGGCAAAUUGCCCAAUUGAUCCCUCCGUUUUUCAGAAAUUUUUAAUUUCAUUUUUAUUUUUAUUUUAAAUUGGCCCUAAAUUUUUACGUGUAUGCCAAUUUAGUCCCAGCAUCCAUUAAAAUCUAUUCUGAGGAACGACGUCGUUUUCUGGGAUAAGGGCUAAUUGCCCAAUGAGCCCCUCUGCUUUAACGCGCCUUUUAAUUUGGCCCAAAAAUUUUCAUUUAUUCGUAAUUAACCCUAAAUUUUUAAAUUAAAUUAAUUUUUUCUUAUAAAUUCAAUUUAUUCUAAAUACUAUAUAUAUUUUUAUAAAAAUUGGUUAUAUAAAAGUGUAUUUAUUAUUUUUCUUUGUAUAUUAUUUAUUAUAUUAUUAUAAAUUAUUAUAUAUUAUGUUACCUAUAUUUUAUUAUAUAUAUUAUUUUAUAUAUUACUUAUCAUUUUGUUUAUAUUAUUAUAUAUUUCGUUUAUAAAUUUUAUUAUAUGUCAUAUUUUUCCAUAUAUUAUCUCUUAUAUACUUUUAUUUUAUUAUAAAAUAUAUAUUAUUUUAUUGCUUAUUAAUUACAUAUGUUUUAUUUUAUUAUUAAAUAAAUUUGUGUAAUAUUAACAUUUAGUACAUUAUUUUGUUAUUAUAUCCUAUAAUAUGGUAUAUACAUAUUAAUCAUUUUUUUAAAAAAAGGUUUUCCUUUGUCAUUCAUAUAUUAUUCUAAAUAUUUCUAAACAUCUUUAUUUUUAUUUUAUUUAAUUUUUAUUUUAUAUGUUUAUAAUUUGCUUAUUUAUUUUUGAAUUCUUUUAUUUUGAUAUUGUUUAGUAGGUUAAAUUUUCAUAGAUUAUUUGUUAUUUCGUGUUUUUGUUUUUAUAUAUUCGCAUGAAAUAAAUUAUUUAUGUUAUUUUAAGUUACUACUGCAUAAAAUAUUAUCAUAUAUAUAUAUAUAUAUAUAUAUUGCAAUUUAUAUUUGUUGUAUUCAUUAUGCGCUAUGUUGUAUUUUGCAUGUAACGAUAAUGCAUGUACAUUUAUGUUAUUUAUGAUUAUAUAUGCAUAAAAUGAUAACGUAUAUUGUAUAAUUUAUGCCAUUAUUCUUUAUUUUUAUAUAUUAUAUUUGCAUGGAAGGUUAAAGAAGGUAUUAUGUAAGUUAAUUUAUUAAUCCUUUAUAAUAUGUUAAAUGCAUCAUCACUUUAAAAAACUUUUAUAUUUCAUUCGAUCCAAAAAGAAUUUAAAAAAUAAGGCAAUGUUUUUGGUAAUUAGGAAUUCGGGAAGUAAUGCCCUAACAUGCUGGGUUGCGAUUUCUCGUCUGUCUAAAUGCUUAAAAAAAUCCUUCUAGAUGAGUUUUGAAAAUCACAAGAUGAUUUUAGUUAUGAAAGUUUAAGAAUAUUGUGUCCAAUCAUGCUGGAUGUGAUAUUUAUAUUCUUUUGAAACGAAGGAAUCUUGAUUUUUUUUUACUCAAAAUUAUUACGGUUUUAAAAGAGAUCUCAUUUUUAAGUUCUUUCAAACUCUUGACAUUAAGACAAAAUUAUUCAAUUUGGUACCAAUUUUGGGCGUUGCGAGGGUGCUAACCCUUCCUCGUACGUAACCGACUCUGAACUCACUUUCUCAUAAUUUUGUAGACCAAAAUGUUUUAUAAAGUGAUCCAAUCACACUUUAAAAGGUUGGUGGCGACUCCCGUUUUCAAAAUACCUCUUCGCCUUCUAAAAGAAGGUUUCGACAAUAGGCUUUAUUUAUGAGGCUGUUGAUAGAGCUAAACGAGCAAUUCAACAAAAGUGUAGAUAUUUCACUAAGUACGAAAAGAUUCUUGACAAUAGAUGGAAUUUUAUGCAUUUCGACUUGCAUUCAGCUGGUAAGAUAAAAUGUUUCAUAUAAUAAUUAAGAACUAUAUUUAUAUUUUAUUAUUUUAAGCUUUAGAUUAUUAUUUGAUGAUAUUCUUAUAAAUUAUACUUAGGUUAUUUUCUCAAUCCUCAAUUUCAAUUUAGGGUGGAGCAUUCUGAGAAUGUACUAAUAGAAACAUUAGAAGGUACACAAUCAGUAAUUGAAAGAUUAGAACUUUCUCUUGAUACUCAAGUCAGAAUGGUUAAUCAGGUUAGAUUCAAGUAUUAUUAUUUGUAACUUACUUACAUAAUUUGAAAUAGAAUUAUUUUUUUAUUUUUACUCUAUCUUUUAUUUAUACAGUUGUUACUAUUUAGGGAUAAACAUGAGACAUUCAGUACUCCACAAGCACAAUGAGCUUGGAAGCAAAUGAAUCUGGGUAAAAAGUUAAUUAAAUUAUUUUAUUUUAUUUAUAUUAUUUAAUUAUAUUGUACAUUUUGAAGUUAUUUUGAAAUUUAAAUAAUAUUAUGCAGUUGAGUGGUGGAUAAUAUACGGCACAUGUGUUCCCGAAUUACAAAAAUUAGCAAUUAAAGUGCUUAGUCAAACAACUUCUGCAUCAAAUUGCGAACGAAAUUGGAGCACGUUUAGUUAUAUUCACACCAAUGCAAGAAAUAGGUUCAAGUAUAAAAAACUUGAGAAACUAGUGUUUACCUAUUAUAAUAUGAGGCUUCAGAUAAGACAUUAAAAAAGAAUGAGCAUUGAUAAUAUAAAUGCUAGUUUUAAUCAUAUCAACGUUGAUCAUAUCUUUGAAGAUGUUGAUCCACUAUCAUAAUGGCUUCAUGAGAAAGAGAAUCCAUUGUUAGAUGGUGAAAAUGCCGGUGUGUUGCAUGUGGAUACCUCUGAUGAUGAAAUGGAUGUUGAUCAAUGAUGGUAGUGAAACUAACUAAAAAUUUGACUUAAUGCAAGCGCACCUAUCGAACAGUAGUAUAGUUAUGGUGAGACCGGAAAUGGAUGUUGAUCAAUCUCAACAAAAAAAUUUGCCUUAUUCAAGUUCUAGUUCAACGUCAAGUCAGCGUGGCGAUGGACCCGAUGGUGGUGGUUUAAGUCCAAUUGAUGAGGAUGAUGGACAUAGUGAUGAUAGAGGUGAAAUUAGGUCUUCUAGUCGGUAUGGAGGAGAAUAUGGGGUUGGUACCACUAGUGGAAAUUUUCUUGAUAGAUAAGAGUUUGACGGAAAUAUGUUUCCUGAACCUAGAAGAGAUAGAAGUGAACCUAGAGCUCCAUCAAAAGGAAGAGGCAAGAAGCAUACUUCUAUAGGCUCUUCAUCUGGUAGGAGAUCGAGUUCUAGUAACCUUGAGUAUAGUGAUUCAUCUACUAGCACUCAAGGUUUUUAUCCACCAGAACAACCUUCAUAUUUUCAACUUUCACAUGGUUAUCCACAACCAUAUGGUUAUUAUCCACCAUUUCCUAAUUAUGGUGUGUCAUACCAACCUCAAAUGCAUCCUCCACCACCAAUGUAUCACCCACCCCUACCUCUUAUGUAUCCUCCUCCUUAAAUAUACCUCCAUAUCAAUUAUAUGAAAACCAAGGUGAAAAUGUUACUUUUUUGGAUAUAUUUUUGGACAAAAGCCAAGAGAAUCAAGCCAAGAACGCUCUCAAAGUGAAGGUGAAAGAUUUGAUCCUCCUCGUCAUUCCACUAAUUGGUGAAAACUAAAUCGUACCACUACCAUUAUUUGUAAGGUAUUUUUUUUAAAGAAAACUUUUAUUAAUGUUCUUAAUUUUGAUGAUAUUAAAAUAUUUAAAAUAUAUCUUUAGAAAAAUGAAUGAAGUAUAUUUUAUGAAAAUAUAAUUAAGAAUUGAAGCAUGUUAAACUAUAUAUGAAAGUAGAAUGAGAGUAAGUAUAACUGGUAGGAAAGAGGAAUAAUUAAUGAGAAUCUAUAAAUUUAUCUAUUCCUUUUUUUUCUUUUGCAGCAUAGAAUGUUUAUAUCUUCACAUUCUUCAAAACUGUCAAGAAAUAUUGAAGACAUCUCUUAUGUAUGAAUUUUCAAUUAUUUUAUCUAUAAAAACUUUCAAACUUAUUAAAUAUGAUAAAUGUUUAAUAUUUCCUAUUUUUUUACUUUUUUAUUAGUUAAUAUAACAUUCUUAGAAAAUUCGUAAAUAAAUAUAAGAAUAAUUAAUGAUUAUAAAAUUUGUGUUCUCAUAUUAUAUUAAUAAAAGUUCAUAAGUGUUAGAAAACACCCUAAAAAUCAUUAAAAGUAACAUUUUAUAAUUAUAAUUAUAAUUAUUAUGCUUUACAAUAAAUUGUGCGAAUUUUAAAAAAAUUCACGACCGCGAUACCCGCAGUGACUGCAAUAGCAUCCGUUAUGUCUGCAACCGCGAUAAACGUAACGCGACCUAAAACGCGGCUGAAACCGCAAUUUAAAUCCCUAGUGGUGCCCAGAGAGGUCUGGUGAUUAUACCGUUCGUAGUGGGUAUUGAUUGCUGCUAAGAGGUUUCCCAGGUUCUAGUAGUGAUUCUUACAGAGAUAUUGAGCCCGAAAGACGGACAUUGUACAAACAUCUAUAGACGACAAAAGUCCCAGAGAAAAUGAGAAUUACAACUUGGUGACUAGUUAACAACUAUGUUCCAACUAGACAUAAUUUACACAAUUGACGACUAAUUGCUGAUGCUGCGUGUUAUGUGUGUGGGUUGUAAGCUGAAACUUCUAGACACGUCUGUCGAGAUUUCCCUUAUGCUACACAAAUUUGGGCUUAGUUAGAGAUCAACUGGGAUAUUCGAAGGAAUGAGGCGACAUUGGUGGAAUGGCUCUAUCAUUUGUAUUAUGAGAAUCAGGGAUUUAAAUUGCGGUCACGGUCGCGUUUUCGGUCGCGUUGCAUUUAUUGCGGUUGCAGACAUAACGGAUGCUAUUGCGGUCAUUGUGGGUAUCGCGGUCGUGAAUUUUUUUUUAAAAUUCGCACAACUUAUUGUAAAUCAUAAUAAUUAUAAUUAUAAUUAUAAAAAGUCACUUUUAAUGAUUUUUAGAGUGUUUUCUAACACUUAUGAACUUUUAUUAAUAUGAUAUGUAUGAGAACACAACUUUUAUAAUCAUUAAUUAUUCUUAUAUUUAUUUACGACUUUUCUAAGAAUGUUAUAUUAACUAAUAACAAAGUAAAAAAAGAGAGGAAAUAUUAAACAUUUAUCAUAUUUAAUAAGUUUGAGAGUUUGUAUAGAUAAAAUAAUUGAAAAUUCAUACCUGAAAGAUGUCUUCAAUAUUUCUUGACAGCUUUGAAGAUGGUGAAAAUAUAAACAUUCUAUGUUUCAAAAGGAAAAAAGGAAUAGAUAAAUGUAUAGAUUCUAAUUAAUUAUUCCUAUUUCCUACCACUUAUUGUCACUCUUAUUCUACUUUCAUAUAUGGUUUAACAUGCUUCGAUUCUUAAUUAUCUUUUCAUAAAAUAUACUCUAUUCAUUAAUCUAAAGAUAUAUUUUAAAUGUUUUAAUAUCAUCAAAAUUAAAAACAUAAACAAAAGUUUUCUUUAAGAAAAACAUACCUUACAAAUAAAGGUAGUGGUACAAUUUAGUUUUCACAAAUUAGUGGAAUGACGAGGAAGAUCAGAUCCUUCACCUUCACUUUGAGAGCGUUCUUGACUUAAUUCUCUUGGCUUUUGUCCAAAUAUAUAUAUCCAAAAAAGUGACGUUUUCACCUUGGUUUUCAUAUAAUUGAUAUGGAGGUAUAUUUAAGGAGUGAGAGGUGGAGGUGGGUGAUACAUUGGUGGUGGAGGAUGCAUUUGAGGCUGGUAUGGCACACCAUAAUUAGGAAAUGGUAGGUAAUAACCAUAUGGUUGUGGAUAACCAUAUGAAGGUUGAAAAUAUGAAGGUUAUUCUGGUGGAUAAAAACCUUGAGUGCUAGUAGAUGAAUUACUGUACCCAAGGUUACUAGAACUCGAUCUCCUACCAGAUGAAGAGCUUAUAGAAGUAUGCUUCUUGCCUUUUCCUUUUGAUGGAGCUCUAGGUUCACUUCUAUCUCUCCUAGGUUCAGGAAACAUAUUUCUAUGAAACUCUGAUCUAUCAUGAAAAUGUCCACUAGUGGUACCAACCCAUAUUCUCCUCUAUACUGACUACAAGACCUAAUUUCACCUCUAUCACCCUAUAUCCAUCAUCCUCAUCAAUUGGACUUAAACCACUACCAUCGGGUCCAUCGCCACUCUGACUUGGCGUUGAACUAGAACUUGAAUGAGAUAAAUUUUAUUGUUGAGAUUGAUUGAUAAACCAUAAGUUACACAUAUUUUUACCCCAUGCUUGGCAUAUUUAUAGAUGAUUUUUCCUUGGUUUUAUUGAAUUCGAUGCUCUUAAUCCUUUAAAUUCAUGUUUUACACUUAAGUGAGCAUAGGAAGGCGAAAAGAGCAAGAAACGAGCCAAAAACGGACAAAUUGGGCCUAAAUCGGUGUUUCACACGGCCAAGUACUGCCACACGAGUGAUCCACAUGCCCGUGCGUGACACAUAGGUAGACCACACGCCCGUGUGUCAUGGCCGUGUCGACAUUAAUUUAAGUCAAAAUUGCACACGGCCUGAGUACUUGCACACAGGCGUGGCACACGGUCAUGUCCCAGUCGAGCUCAAGUCUAAUUUUACUCAGAAAAGGCUAAUUCUGGGCUAUUCUGGGCAUUCCAAAGUAUAUAUAUAAACACCCUAGAAGAGGAUUAAAGGGGACACGCAGAGUAGAAGGCAGGGAAGUACUCAAGAACAGCCAUCAGAAUCACCUCGGAGGCAGGAUCUAAAUCAAGACUGAAGAUUUCCAUCCAAUUUUCUAGAAGUUCUUUGGGUUUCUUUAUGUUUUGUUGUUUUCAAUAUUUUGAGAUGUUUUCCAUUAUUAUCAUGAACUAAACUCCCUAAAUACCUAAGGGAGAUGAAACCUAAGACGAAUCUUAUUACUUUUUGAUUUAUAUGAUAAAUAUUUGUUCUUAUUCUUAAUUGUGAGUUUUAAUUCUUGCUUUAAUAUUCUAGGAUAUUAAUUCAGGUUUUUGAUGUGCUUAUUCAGUGGAGGAAAAGUCCUUGUUUAAGAGUAAAUCAUUCAUAAUUAAGCGGAGUUGCAUGCAAUCCUAGAGAUAGGACGACAUAAAUCUGCCGGAUUAGAGUCAAAUCUAAUAAGGGAAUCCAUAAAUCGAGUUCAUGCGACUAUAGGGGUUUUAAUUAGAAAGAGAUUUCAAUUAAUCAACCUAGAGUCAGUUGUUUUUAGUCUCAAAAGGGAUAUUAACAUAAAUUACGGAUUUCUACGGAAUAAGUCAAGUGAAUAAAUCGUCUAAUUAAGAGGUAAUAAGUGAAGUCCAGGUGAAGUCUUUCUUGGGUAUUGUCUUCUCAAUCAGUUUUUCAAAAGUAUUUUCCAACCUUAACCUCUAUCGUAAUCUUAGCUAAUUAGAUAAUUAGCUUUAGGUAAACAUUCUCUUAAUUUUUAGGCUAAAUAAUAAAAAGAUAGUAAUUACUAGUACUUUUAGUCCUCGUGGAUACAAUAUUUCCGGUCUCACCAUAACUAUACUACUAUUCGAUAGGUGCGCUUGCCUUAAGUCAAAUUUUCAGUUAGUUUUGACGACCAUCAUUGAUCAACACCCAUUUCAUCAUCAGAGGUAUCCACAGGUAACACAAUGACAUCUUCACCAUUUAAUAAUGGAUUCUCUUUCUCAUGAAGCCAUUCUGAUAGUGGAUCAACAUCUUCAAAGAUAUGAUCAAGGCUGAUAGGAUUAAAACUAGCAUUUAUAUCAUCAUUGGUAAUUCUUUUUUGAUACCUUAUCUGAAGCCUCAUAUUAUAAUAGGUAAACACUAGUUUUUCAAGUUUUUUAUAUUUUAACCUAUUUCUUGCCUUGGUGUGACUAUAACUAAAUGUGCUCCAAUUUCGUUCAUAAUUUGAUGCUGAAGUUGUUUGACUAAGCAAUUUAAUUGCUAAUUUUUGUAAUUCGGGAAAACAUGUGCUGUAUAUUAUCCACCACUCAGCUACAUAAUAUUAUUUAAAUUUUAAAAUAACUUCAAAAUAUACAAUAUAAUUAAAUAAUAUAAAUUAAAUUAAAUAAUUUAAUUAACUGUUUACCCGGACUCAUUUGCUUCCAAGCUCUUUGUGCUUGUGGAGUACUGAAUGUCUCAUGUUUAUCUCUAAAUAGUAACAACUGCAUAAAUAAAAGAUAGAGUAAAAAAAAUUCUAUUUCAAAUUAUGUAACUAAGUUACAAAUAAUAAUAUUUGAAUCUAACCUGAUUAACCAUUCUAACUUGAGUAUCAAGAGAAGGUUCUAAUCUUUCAAUUACUGAUAGUGUACCUGAUAUUGUUUCUAUUAGUACAUUCUCAGAAUGCUCCACCCCAAAUUGAAAUUGAGGAUUGAGAAAAUAACCUAAGUAUAAUUUAUAGGAAUAUCAUCAAAUAACAAUAAUCUAAAACUUAAAAUAAUAAAAUAUAAAAAUAGUUCUUAAUUAUUCUAUGAAACAUUUUACCUUACCAGCUGAAUGCAAGUCGGAAUGCAUAAAAUUCCAUCUAUUGUCAAGAAUUUUUUUCAUACUCAGUGAAAUAUCGACAAUCUUGUUGAAUUGCUCGUUUAGCUCUAUCAACAGCCUCAUAAAUAAAGCUCAUUGUUGGUUUAUUCAUUGCUAUCCAUAAGUCUCAAUACUUUUACUAGGGGCUAGUAAACUUUUAUGAGGUCGUUGGCUUUUUUCCAAAAAUAUUUUUCCAAAACAAUUUUUUUGGUUUCAUAAGCAGGCCCUGACUUUUGCUGUCCCCAUUUUGAUUCUUUAAAUUCUUAUAUAUUCAUAAGAAACAUUUUAAAAUAAUAUAAUUUAAAUUAUUUGGAACUAAUAAAAUCUUUAAAGGUUGCUAUAUUUAAGUAAUUAUAUUAACUAAUUAUAAAACACUAACAUUUGAAUUAAACAUUUCUUUCAGAUCUUUCUUUUGUUUUGUUAUCUCUUCAAGUUGAAUGAAAUGAGUUGCAAAUUGAGUAAGAGCGGAUCGAAGUAUUUGUUUCCCUUGUGUAUACUUCUUUAUCAAGUCAACAGUCUAAAUAUGAUUGUAUAUAAAGCAAGUCACUUUCUUUGUCUCAUCUAACACUUUUGCUGCACUGGGCUUUUUCUCAAUAUCUUUAAGGCAUAAAUCUAAACAAUGAGCUACACAUGAGGUCUAAUAUAAAUGUUUUCUUUUCACCAUUAAUUUUUUUCUGACAGCUUUCAUUGCUGCCUCAUUAUCAGUCACUAUUUGGACAAUGUAAUUUUCUCCAAUUUCUUCUACAACUGAAUCUAGCAAACUGUAGUAGAAUUCAGCAUCUCUACUACGAACACUUGAGAAUCUACCGAUUUCCAAAAAAUGGUUCCUUUAUUACAAUAAACAAGAAAAUUAAUGAUGUGCAUUUGAUUCAAACUGUUGGUCAAACCAUCACACAUUAGAGUUGCACCCAAUUCAUUCCAAUAAGUCUUUAGUCCAUUUACCCAAUCACGAACUCGUUGAUACUCUAACUCCAAAUACACAUCUGAAACCUCAUAAGGUGUUGGGAGCUUUACACCUUGUCCAAAUUCUGUUGACACUUGAAUUAAGUUAUACAAACAUGGAGAGCUUGCUAAUUGAAAAGUAAGUUUUUCAUAUAUUAAAAAUUUAGAUACCGUUUCACCUAUCUUCCUUUGAAAACUCUUUAAAAAAGAUUCAUUAACCUUUACUUGCUUUGAACUUUUGCUUUUAACCAAUUUAGGUAUAACUCCCCUUAAGGUAAGUUCAGACUCACUUGGGAUGGAUUUACUUGUUCUUUCUCUACAAUAUUCUCUAGCUAAUCCAUGAGAAGAUCGCCCUUCUGCAUAAAUGUUAUUCCAACCGCCAGUACUUCGUCUGAACUCUUCCCUUCUAUGCCACUCGUGUUGUGAUUGGAUACUUUCUCGAGUUGCUUGCCGUAUAGCAGAAACCUCAUCAAUGAAUUCCUCGUGUUAAUCCUCAUCUUCUCUUAAUUGAGAUAAAAAUUUAUCUUUUCUCCUCUUUUUGUCUAUUUUCUUUGUAUUGCUUCCUUUCAGUAUAUUCAUUAUAUUUUUUUUAAUGACAACUGUUAAUAAAAAAUAUAAUUCACACUUUAUAUUAUUAUCAAUUAUAUAUAAUCUUUAUAGAAAAUUUACAAUAACAUUUAAAAAUAAUAAUAAAGUAUCAUAUACCAAUAACAUUAGGGCAUGGUGCAACAUUGCCAGUUUUAUAAGCAAUAUGCUCUUUAAAUUGCGUUAUUCCUCCUUUCACAACUUUACCACAAAGUUUGCGUAUAAUAUUUCCUUUCGUAUUUGGCACUGGAGUUCCAAAGUGCCAACCUAUAUCAUUACUUGGUGCACCCUCCAAUCCUUUAGUCGGGAACUCUUUACAUGGUGGCAUGCUUUAUUUUUAUUUAUAUAUAAGAAACAUAAAAUUAUAUUUAGAAAUAUAAGCAACUCAUUACUUAUAUUAUCAACAAAAUAAUACAAAAAAAGUAAACAUCAUUAACAUGGAAAAUUUAAAUUUAUUGCAUAAUCCAUGCAUAAUAAUAAAUAAUAAAUUAUGAAAGUUAUGAGAUUUUAAAAUAAUAAUAAUUAAUAAUAAAUAAUUAUCAUUAUAAAUUAUAAUUACAAUAUUAAUUAAAAAUAACAUAUAAAGUAAAAUUAUAAACCUGAUAAGAUUGAGGCUUUCAUAUUAAAAAAUACAAUAAUCUAAUUGUUGUCAAAAUAGUUUUCAUUUUCUGUAAAAUCUCUCCAAACUCUAAUAAAUCAACCCAAAUAUACUUCAACAAGUUAAAAGAUGAAGAGGAUGGGAGUGAGGUGGGAUUCACUCUUUUCCACUUUUAAGUACUUAAGCUAGUUUAUAGAAAUAGCAGGUGAAAACAUUUACGUAAUGUAUUUAUAAAAAAAUUGUUAUGAAAAUUAAAGGCAUGAAAUGAUAAAUUUAAGAUGAUUUUAAUGUUCGGUUUCAAAUGUCAUUAUUUACAUUUAUAUGCAUGUAUUUUUUUCUAAAUUUAUCAAAUAUAAAAAUAUAUAAAUACCUCAAAAUAAUAUUUGUUGUUUUAUAAAAUGAAUGGAUAAUAAUUUUCUAAUUGAGUUUGGUCUCGAUUAUUAGGUUACAUCAACUCAAUCAACUCCUUAAUUUAUAGUAUAAAUGAUUUUUUAUGGUUGCAUUAGCAUAGUAUAUAAUUACAUAAAAAAAUUAUUAAAACUCCAUAUGUGUAUGUAAAAAUUUAAUUUCAUAAAUUAUUAAUAUGUUAAAAUUUAUAUCAAUUAAAAUUAAGCAAAUAGAAUAUGAAUAUUUAUAUUAUACUUCAUUGUCAAUAAGUUAAUGUCAAGAGUCAACUAAACACUAACCUGAUUAGAAAUUAAAAAAAAAAACAUAACCUUUUUACAAAGUAGCAAAUAUUACAAUAUAAAAAUAUUUUUACAUUUUAUACAAUAUAAAAAAUCAAUUUAAAUCCAAAAUACAUAUAGAAAAAUACAAACAAUAAACAAAUUUAAAAACUUUCAAAUCCUCAAAUUUAUCAUUCAAAUUAAAUCUUGUUUUUUAUAUUAAUUUUAAUAAACAUAGUGAGGAUAUCAUUUUCAUUAAAUAAUAUAUAGUGGUUUUAUUUUAAAAAUGAUUAUAUAUAUAUAUUUAACCAGUAUAAUGAAUUUCAUUUAUGAGCUUUAAUUUCAACUACCUAUUGCAUAUUAAGUCAAACAUUACUCCCAUUAAAGAGUGAUUAGGAAUAAAUUGAUCCUAAUUCCUAACAGUUGUCCUGCUUGUCUUACUACCUGUAAAGGAAAAUAAAAAAGAAAUAUGCUAGCUAGGUGUAAAUGCAUGGCAGCUGUCCUACUAUUGAUAGCCUAGACAGUGUCUUGGUUUUGGCUAGGAGUAAAGGAAAAUAAAAAUGAAAAUAUAAAAAAAAAAAUCAAAUGACAGAAAACUUAGAAAGAAAACUGAAGAGGCCUAAAGUCUAUCAUCCUCUCAAAACUUAUAUCCUUUCAAAACUCUAUCAAAUUCUUGGAAUAUGCUGGUUGUGCCUUUUCCCUUCAUCUCUAACCUAAAGUCUAAAAAACAUAUUUGCACUGCAAAAACAAGCAAAAAGCCAAGAAUCAAGACAAUUUUAGAUACUUAUUUGAAAAUUUUCAAUCACUGAAUGUGAAAGUGAUCAGGGUUUACUUUGUUUGCCAUUUGAUUUGGAGUUUAGGGACUGAAAUAUGAGAAAUAUAAUUUCAUAUUUUCUAUUGCUUUUGAGUUUUGAAUUUUGAUAGCUUUUUUCUAUUUAUUUGGUCUUCUUUUCGCUUUUUUUUGAUUGAAAACACUCUGGUUUUGCAAGUAGAGAAAUAUAUUUUCUUUUGUUUUAUUAUGUUUCACUGUUUCUGUUGAUUUUUAUUUAGAAAAGAUGGAUUUUUUUUAAUUUACUGUAACAGAAAAUAACGAGAAUAGUGGCCCGUUAUUGCCGCAAUUGGUCGUUACCCGUUAAAUUGCGGCCGCGUGGCCCGACCCGAAGGCCCGCCCGAAAUGUGAGAAAGUUUGGACAAAAAUAUAAGCCCGAAAAAUAGGCUUGGGUAAAAAAAAUAAGGCCCGUUUAAAAAACAGGCCGGAACUCAGGUAAGGCAUUUUUGAGCCGGACUCGGCCUGACCCGACCUGAAUUCACUACAUGAAAAAAAAAUUUUAAUAUUAUUUUCUUAUUGUUUUCUCACUAUUUUGCUACUAUUUUGUAAUUAUUGUUUGAAUAUUGUAUAAAACUUAUUUUAUUGUUAAUUUUUUAUUAUUUUAAAGACAUUUGUUAAUUUUGUUAUUAUUUUAAAAACAUUUGUUUGUUAAGUUAUUUAAGUAUACAUAUUUUUUAAAAUUUAAUUUCAAUUUGUUGAGAAAUAUUUAUUUGAUGUUUUUAGUAUUUUUGAUGGUUUAUAUAUGUUUUAAAACUAUAUAAAAAUAAUAUAAAAUUUUAUAUGGGUAGGCUAGGUCGGGCCCAAAUUUUAACAUUUUUAUUUGAGUCAGAUUUGAAAAAAAUUUUAGGCCCAUUUUUCAGGCCGGGCCAGACCCAAGCCUAAUAAACGAGCCUAAAUUUUUAGUUGUGUCCGGCCCGGCCCAUGCACACCUCUAAGCGCGACUCACCGCUAUUAGUGUGAUUUCGCUUCACAUCGCUAUUUUCAGCAAUAACAUUUUAAGACGGUGCCGCUACCGCUAUAUAGCGGCGGCUAUAGCGGUAUCAGACUGAUAUUUAAAUCCCUGAUGAGAAUACCCAUCACCGAUCAUUUAUCACAAUUACAAUAUGGGCUCUCUGGUUGUCAAGGAAAAAACUGGUGCAUGAGGGAAGUAGGCAAACCGUUAAUGAGUUCAGUUCAUUUGUUCUAAGGUGUGUUAAAGAACUGGAAAUGAUAGAAAAGAUUUACCCAAAGGCUAGCCAAGAUCAGCCUGUGCGAUGGACCCCUCCAAAGACCCGAUGGGUUAAGGCCAACUUUGACGAGGGUUUUUGCAGUGACCUGCAAAAAUCCAGUAUAAGAGCUGUUAUUCGAGAUGAAAAUGGUCUGUUAAUGGGGGCAUAUUGUAGUUGGAAUAGAAAUAUUCAGUCACCUGAAGCGGCGGAGGCUUUGGCUGCAGUUCAAGCUGUUCGUUUUGCCCAGGACAUGGGUUUUCGUAAAGUCACGGGGAUUCAAUGGUGGUCAUCUCAAAAAUAAAGGCGCAACAUUUGGAUAGAUCGGAGGUUAGCAUAUAUAUACAGGGGAAGCCAAGUAGUUACUUAUGGGUUUUGAGAAGUUUAAAUUUUAGCAUAUAAAAAGGGGAGGGAAUCGAGUUGCUCACAUAUUAGCCAAGGAAGACUUUCGCCGGAAACAUGACAUGCAAUGGGCGGAAGAGGGCCCAACGAUGAUACGGGAAACAGUGGCGAUGGAGGAAAUGAGGAUCAAUCACGCCGAUUCGUAACCUCUUCGUGGUAUGAGAAAGCUGUACUUGUGAAUCUAAGCAGCAAUUUCAUGGACAUUCUUCAUUUUUGAACCUUCACUGGAGAUUUGGGAUCAGAAAUGAAGGGUCUCUGAGCUGGUGUGCAUAGGAAAUCGUUGGGUUUCUUUUCGUGGUUUUAUGUUAUUGGUUUUAAUGUUUUAUGGUUUUGCUUUUAUUUGUAUUUUAUUGGCUUAUCGGUACUGAACACUUUAUUUAAUGUUGGUUUUAAUAAAGCAGGCCAAUAUUAUUUAAAAAAACCUUAUAUGACAAUAAAAAGUAGAUUUUGUCAA
RNAcentral lists this long non-coding RNA (15184 nucleotides) under Gossypium barbadense (sea-island cotton). RNAcentral describes it as "long non-coding RNA (GBAR_LNC002002)". The record is from RNAcentral. Lineage: Eukaryota; Viridiplantae; Streptophyta; Magnoliopsida; Malvales; Malvaceae.